RNAcentral lists this long non-coding RNA (265 nucleotides) under Elaeis guineensis (African oil palm). Its description in RNAcentral is "long non-coding RNA (EGUI_LNC043851)". The record is from RNAcentral. Lineage: Eukaryota; Viridiplantae; Streptophyta; Magnoliopsida; Arecales; Arecaceae.
AUAGAGAGAGAGAAAAAACAAUCAAAGUGAAAAUAAGAAUUGGAGGAGAUGGAGACAUUUCGGUAGUUUUCAUUAUAUAUAGUUUAAUAGGAAAUAAUAUGUCGUAACUACAGGGUGAUGAUGCUGUUAACAACAAUGAUGCUAUAUGAUUGUGACACGUAUCACACAAUUAAAACACUUUUCUUAGAUUGUUGUCGAUUAACACUCUUCACCGCGAAUCAUUUACGGUGGGCCAAUAAGAUGAAUAGGACAUUAAAAUGGCAUA